Long non-coding RNA from Hirundo rustica (Barn swallow), 625 nucleotides. RefSeq lists it as uncharacterized. The transcript is spliced from 3 exons. Lineage: Eukaryota; Metazoa; Chordata; Aves; Passeriformes; Hirundinidae. The record is from RefSeq and is a predicted model, not a curated record.
GAGGAACCUUGAGGAAGAGGAAGUGAGAGGAGUGUGAAGAAGAAGGGUCCUGGGGAGAGAGAAUCACUGCUGUGAGUUUUAGACGGCUCUGCUUCUAGACGGCAGACGGUCAGCUGUGAAAACACCAGUACAGCAGAGACACAAAGAACUUGCUAAGGAUGAACACCAGCAAAAUGCUGAGUUCCCAGAAACCAAAUGAUACAUCUCUCAGAUAAAUUUUGAAUUUGCCUGACUCAACAGCCUAUGCUGAACUGUACCAGAGAAAUGGCUAUGAUGUCACCUUUAUCUUUGAGUCCAUCAGCUUUACCCUUCUGAAGGCUGCAGAUGGAUGGUGGGUUUCAAGUCUUCAAGAAAUGACGGAGAAAAGAAAAAGUUGAGUAAGGACGUCAAGAGCACAGUAGAGCACGUGAAGAGCAAAUGCCUGCCCAGCAGCUUUGUCUGAAUUUUUUUUCUCAUCACAGCUGCUUGCUGACAAGCCAUGCACCUUCAACCCCCCUCAGCCUGAACUUAAACCAGCUUAACACCAACAGAGAUUUUUAGACCUCAGGUAAAAGGGUAGUGAUCUUUCAUUUAGUUCAGCCUUUCUGUUGAUGUCAAGGAAUAUCGGCCUCUCUCUUUUUCUCUU